UCUUUUCUCUCUCUAUGGCUUUCACUCUCUUUUGGUUCGUGUGUGCCGGAGGCGACUGGUAAUGGUCUCCUUCAAAGCCCUGUGCAUAUGUUUAUGUACCCUCUGCUAUUUUCUGGAGAGGCAUUGGCAAUGGCUGUAACUUUUGCUAUAUUUGUCUCUCUCUCUUUCUGCAAACACCCUAUCUCUGCAAACUCAUGCGGUUGAUUCUGUCUCUUAUGCCCUUUCUCUCUCUAUAACAAUAGUCAUGAGUUUUUUCUCUCUCUAUAACAAUAGUCAUGAGUUUUUUCUCUCUCUUUUUAGCUAUUAGUACUUGUUAAUGGUGGCCACUGUCUCUCAUGCAACGGCUACUUUCUGGGUUUUCGAAUUCAAAAUCAGGGGAUGAGGAGACUUGCAAUCAUGUCUCAAACGCUCAAACCCUCGCCAUUUCUCUUCACUCUCUUCUCAUGCAUCUCCUUCAGCGCACCAGCAUCAAGAAACCCUAACCCUAACCCUGACCAUAAAUAUGGAGAGAUAAACCCUAGAACCAUCCUCCAUCUCCUUAAAAAAUGCUCAGACAUGGCAACCCUGAAACAUAUUCAUUCUCACAUGGUUACCACUGGUUUGAUAAGCCACACCCAUAUUGUAAACAAGCUGAUAUUCUUCUGUUCACUCUCAUCCAAUGGCUGCUUAAACUAUGCUUCCUUACUCUGUGCUCAAAUGCCGAACCCUAAAACCUUUGCUUUGAACACCAUUAUGAGAGGCUAUGGCAAUAGUUCUUCUCCCUCUAAAGCUCUACUCUUAUUCAAGGGAAUGAUUGACGAAGGGAUAUCCAUCGAUAAUUUCACUUUCACAUUUUCUAUCACUGCCUGUGCUAGGAUGCUCGCUCUUCAAUUAGGGCAGAGCUGCCAUGGCUUUGCUUUGAAAUUAGGGUUUGACUUGGACAUUUUCGUGAGAAAUUCACUCAUCAAUCUUUAUGCAUGUUGUGGGGAGGUGGAUUUCGCGCGGUGGGUUUUUGAUGGUGGGUCUUGCGUUGAUUCGGUUUCUUGGAAUUCAAUCAUAAAUGCUUAUGCAAAGAGUGGGGGAGAUGGAAAUUGCGGAAGAACUAUUCAAUGAAAUGCCUGAGAGAGAUGCGGUUACUUGGGCUUCGUUAAUGGCAGGUUACGUGCAAAAUUGCCAAUUCGACGAAGCUUUAAGGGUUCUUGAUCGAAUGGGUCUGGCAGGGAUUGAACCCAAUGAUGCUAUUCUUACUUGUGCAUUAUCGGCCUGUGCCCAUUUGGGAGAUUUAGAGAGAGGAAAGCAAAUAAAUGCCAGUAUAGAUGGGCUUGGAGUAAAGCAGAGUGUACAUUUGAGCACUGCUCUUGUUAAUAUGUAUGCAAAAUGUGGCAAAUUGGAUAUUGCACAUACACUUUUCAAUAAAAUUCCUGAUAGAAAUGUGGUCUCAUGGAGCACUAUGAUUUCAGGUUAUGCCUGCAGUGACCAGUCCAAGGAAGCCUUAGAUUUGUUUCGUGAGAUGCAAGCAAAUGGGGUUGCACCCAAUGAGGCCAUACUGGUCACUGUAUUGUCAGUCUCUGCAAAUUUGGGGGCAUUUGACCUGGGCAAGUGGGUUCAUCGCUACAUAGAGAGAAAUAACAUCUUUUUAAGUGCUAAUAUUGGUACUGCAUUGAUUCACAUGUAUGCAAGGUGUGCUAGAUUAGAGGAGUCAUUUGAAGUUUUCGAUAUGAUGCGUGAAAAAAAUGUGGAUUCAUGGAAUGCCAUAAUUUCGGGCCUUGCAAUGCAUGGUCUUGGUGCAAAGGCAAUGGAUUGCUUUUGUAAUAUGAAAAUCUCAGGUAUCAAACCCGACGAUAUUACUUUCAUAGGCAUAUUAAGUGCAUGUAGCCAUUCAGGGUUGGUGCUAGAGGGGAAAAGUUUCUAUGGUUGCAUGACCAAAGACUACAAUAUUACGCCCAAAGUUGAGCACUAUGGAUGCAUGGUUGAUCUCCUAGGCCGUGCUGGCCUCCUAAUCGAGGCCCAACAAUUGAUAGAGAGCAUGCCCAUGAAGCCUGACAAUAUCGUUUGGGGAGCUUUGCUUGGUGCAUGUAAGCUUCAUGGUGAUCUUGAGCUUGGAGAAAAGGUAGUGAACCGUGUGCUUGAGUUGGAACCUCGAGAUGCUGCUACCUAUGUGUUGAUUUCGAACAUAUAUGCAGGGGCAGGGAGAUGGGGUGAGGUCAAGAAGGUGAGAAAGGCAAUGAGAGAGAAAGGGAUCAAGAUUUUGCCAGGUUGGAGUUCAAUAGAAAUCGAGGGAAUAGUUCACCAAUUCUUAGUGGGUGAUAGAUCUCAUUCUAGGAGUAAAGAGAUUUAUGCAAUGUUAGAAAAGAUUAUUAGGACAUUGAGAUUGGAAGGGCACUCACCAGAUACUAAGAACGUGUUGCAUGAUGUGGGAGAAGAGGAGAAAGAAGAUGCAUUGCGUUACCAUAGCGAGAAGUUGGCCAUUGCCUUUGGUUUUAUCGCUACGAGAAGUUGCGAUAUGAUUUAUGUUGUGAAAAACCUUCGCAUAUGUGGAGAUUGCCAUUCGGCCAUGAAAGCGAUCUCUAGGAUCUUUGAUAGGGAAAUCAUUAUUAGAGAUCGAGUGCGAUUCCACCACUUCAUAGAUGGUUCUUGCUCGUGCAUGGAUUAUUGGUGAACCAUAGAGUCAAAUGCUAAUUUUCAAACUGGCAAUGCAAUGCUUGUGAGUCAUGGUAAGCUAUUAAAUCUUUGUAGUUCAGAUAGAAAGUGACUGUCGAAGCGAUGUUGGGAUGCUUAAGGGCAAGCUUCCUCAGAUUUCUCGAGGGCAAAGGUUCUUCUUUUCUAGGAGAAUUUGGGUACUCAUCUGCUCUAGAUGCAAGGCUACAAGUCUCACUCUCCCCAUUCAAGUCCAUGAAACAACCUCGGGCCCUGCCCAUCUGAAACUUGAAUAUUUGAAGAACAAGGUACAAAAAAAUGACAACAUAGAAAGGAGUGCAAAUUCUCUCCAGUGGAAGGGGAACAGAAUCCAAGUGGAGGGUCUGAGCAUGUUUGGAUUAUUCCCUAGGUUCAGGGUUGCCAUGUCUGAGCAUUUUAAACGGGAUGGAGGAUGGUUCUAGGGUUUAUCUCUCCAUAUUUAUGGUUAGGGUUUGGGUUUCUUGAUGCUAGUGUGGUGAAGGAGAUGCAGGGGAAGAGAGUGAAGAGAAAUGGCGGGGAGCAUUUGAGAUGGGAUUGCAAGUCUCCUCAUCCCCUGAUUUUGAAUUUGAAAACCCAGAAAGUAGCCGUUGCAUGAUUGUUAACUAGUCAAGAAGGUGGGCACCAAGUUCCAGCCAAAGGCUAAGGCAAAGAGGCCGUCCAUUCCUUCUUCGCAUGCACAGAAUAAAGACAAUUCCAA
This is a non-coding RNA of Amborella trichopoda, 3352 nucleotides long. The record is from RefSeq and is a predicted model, not a curated record. Lineage: Eukaryota; Viridiplantae; Streptophyta; Magnoliopsida; Amborellales; Amborellaceae.